CCUACGGGAGACAGCAGUGAGGAAUAUUGGUCAAUGGACGAGAGUCUGAACCAGCCAAGUAGCGUGAAGGAUGACUGCCCUAUGGGUUGUAAACUUCUUUUAUAUGGGAAUAAAAUGUUCCACGUGUGGCAUUUUGUAUGUACCAUAUGAAUAAGGAUCGGCUAACUCCGUGCCAGCAGCCGCGGUAAUACGGAGGAUCCGAGCGUUAUCCGGAUUUAUUGGGUUUAAAGGGAGCGUAGGUGGAUUGUUAAGUCAGUUGUGAAAGUUUGCGGCUCAACCGUAAAAUUGCAGUUGAAACUGGCAGUCUUGAGUACAGUAGAGGUAGGCGGAAUUCGGGGUGUAGCGGUGAAAUGCUUAGAUAUCACGAAGAACUCCGAUUGCGAAGGCAGCUCACUAAACUGCAACUGACACUGAGGCUCGAAAGUGUGGGUAUCAAACAGGAUUAGAUACCCCAGUAGUC
Molecule: ribosomal RNA, 460 nt
Filed under: uncultured bacterium
Lineage: Bacteria
Description: partial 16S ribosomal RNA
Rfam family: Bacterial small subunit ribosomal RNA
Source: RNAcentral